RNAcentral lists this ribosomal RNA (1503 nucleotides) under Triticum aestivum (bread wheat). RNAcentral's name for it is "partial small subunit ribosomal RNA". The record is from RNAcentral. Lineage: Eukaryota; Viridiplantae; Streptophyta; Magnoliopsida; Poales; Poaceae.
AUGGAGUUCUUCACAGAAUAUGGGGAGGCAAGCCAGUAUCAGAUCGAAGAGAUCAUUGGCAAGGGAAGCUUCGGAGUAGUUGCUGCUGCAGUAGAUACCCAAACUGGGGAGCGGGUUGCGAUCAAGAAGAUACAUGAUAUGUUUGAGCAUGCCUCAAAUGGCACCCGCAUUCUUCGGGAAAUCAAGCUUCUUCGGCUUCUCCGCCACCCAAACAUAGUUGAGACCAAACACAUCCUGCUUCCCCCUGCCCGAAGGGAGUUCAGAGAUAUUUAUGUUGUUUUUGAGCUCAUGGAGUCGGACCUACAGAAAGUGAUCCAAGCAAAUGAGAACCUCACUGCAGGGCAUCACCGUUUUUUCUUGUAUCAACUUCUUCAUGCCCUCAAGUACAUCCAUGCAGCUAAUGUAUUUCAUCGUGACUUAAAACCGAGCAACAUACUUGUCAAUUCAAACUGCAAACUAAAGAUCUGUGACUUUGGGCUUGCACGCGCAUCGCGUGAUGAUCCUCCCUUGGCUAUAUUUUGGACUGACUAUGUGGCUACAAGGUGGUACCGUGCUCCUGAAUUAUGUGGCUCAUUUUUCUCCAAAUACACCCCUGCAAUUGAUAUUUGGAGCAUAGGGUGCAUAUUUGCUGAAGUUCUCACUCGAAAACCAUUAUUUCCUGGGACGAACGUCAAGCACCAACUAGAUCUGAUAACAGAUGUCCUUGGAACUCCAUCAUAUGAAACCCUAUCCCAGAUUCGUAAUGAGAAGGCCAGGAUAUAUUUGACUGGCAUGAAGAGGAAACAUCCUAUCCCCUUUCCUAGUAUGUUUUGUAACGCUGAUCCUCAGGCUGUCCGUCUCCUAGAACGCUUACUCGCAUUUGAUCCUAAAGAUCGACCUACUGCUGAAGAGGCUUUAGCUGAUCCAUAUUUUGAAGGAUUUCCUAAUUUGGAACAUGAGCCUUCACCACACCCCUUUUCAAAACUUGAGUUUGAAUUUGAGAGAUGGAAGCUAACAAAGGAUGGUAUAAGAGAUCUGAUAUAUCGAGAGAUUUUGGAGUACCAUCCACAGAUGCUUCAGGAUUAUAUCGGAGCUGGAGGACAGACUAGUUUCGUCUAUCCAAGUGGGGUUGAUGGUAUGAGACUGCAGUUUGUACAUCUUGAGGAGAACCACCUCAGAGGAGAAAGAGGUACUCCACUGCGGAGGCGACAUGCAUCUUUGCCAAGGGAAAGAGUCUGUGCACCAAAAGGUAGCGAUAAUCAAGACUGUAACAAUGAGAGAAGGAGGACAGCAUCUUCUGCUGCCCAAACUACCAUAAGAUCACAACAAGAGGGGCUGACACAUGCAUAUGUUUAUCAAAAUGGCACAAGCAUUCCGAACUUCUGCUCUGGGUAUUACUUGCAGAAUGGUAGUACCAGUGCUUCCAGUUGUGUCAUCGAUGAGCAUGAAGGCCUGGAGGAGAACGGCGUCUCCGAGGAGGAGAAGGUGGCCUAUGAACUGUCACAAUGUUUUGCCAGGAUUUAG